UGCAAUUCCAUUCCGCCAAAAACAUACCGGUGGGACUGGAUUUGUAUCCGAGGACAUAGCUUUGAAGUGUCGUGGAAAUAUUUUCAAGGGAAGAGCUCCCUCCUCAUACAAUUCAUAUUCAACCGUCGAUGAUCAAGGUUGAAAAGGACCCGAAGCUUUCAGAUAUCAGGACCGUUGGUGCACUUGAAAUAGUACAAACAAGUUUUGGUGAAUCAUGGUGAGAAGGAUGGUUUGACUGCAGCCAGAAUGAUCUUAUCUGGGAUUCCUCUGGACAAAACAUACCUACAGAAUCGUCUGUCCAUCCUGAUGAACGAUGAAAAGAAGAGUUUGAAAGGAGGAAGGAUUCCUAUUCCAGAUUUUUACUAUCUAAUGGGGACAGCCGAUCCCACAGGAAUUCUUAAAAGUGAUGAAGUUUGUAUUAUCCUGAACUGUGCAGUCCCUGAAUCAGCAUAUAGAGCAAGGCAGAAGUGCAUCGCGGACAAGACCCAUCAGUAUCCUUAACAUGGACAUUGCAGAGUCUGACCCUUCCCUGUUCCAGAGGCUCUUCCACUAGAUGGCGGGGUAGAGAUCAGAGGAAUGACCGUAGCAGGUGAUGAGACGGAUCUCAGGUCUGGGAAGGUGUUUGAGUGGAGAAUUGAAAGCCUUUUCCCGACUGGGCUCUUCUCUCUUUUGAGCUGCCCAGACCCAUUGAUCACACAGUUCACCGGCAACUUUAGUGCAGAUGGGAUUUUCCAGUGAUUCAUCGAGAAGUGGAUGGACAAUCGCUAAAUCUGGCAACUGAGGCUUCAUAGGAGUAUUGACUUCAUAAAGGGAAAAUGUCGGAGCGUUUCCGGGCACUUGCUAAGGCUCUUUAGUUAUGCUUUUGUUAAGUAGACUUUUCAAAAAGUUCUUCGUCUCGUACGUUAGUCCUCAUCCAUUCUACUAAUAGGAUAUAUUUGCCCUUUAAAGUAUUGGAUACUCUUGUUUUCCUAUAGAGAAUAUGUUGCUCUGCACAUAAAAUCAGAUUAUGCAAGCAAGUUUAUUUGGUUGUGAUUUUUCGCUUGUUUUCUCAUUACCUAUGCUGAGGUACCUUAAGCCAG
Molecule: long non-coding RNA, 1079 nt
Organism: Eucalyptus grandis
Lineage: Eukaryota; Viridiplantae; Streptophyta; Magnoliopsida; Myrtales; Myrtaceae
Exons: 5
Source: RefSeq, a predicted model, not a curated record